Molecule: ribosomal RNA, 447 nt
Filed under: uncultured bacterium
Lineage: Bacteria
Description: partial 16S ribosomal RNA
Rfam family: Bacterial small subunit ribosomal RNA
Source: RNAcentral
ACCAGACUCCUACGGGAGGCAGCAGUGGGGGAUAUUGCACAAUGGGGGGAACCCUGAUGCAGCGACGCCGCGUGGGUGAAGAAGCGCCUCGGCGCGUAAAGCCCUGUCAGCAGGGAAGAAAAUGACGGUACCUGAAGAAGAAGCCCCGGCUAACUACGUGCCAGCAGCCGCGGUAAUACGUAGGGGGCAAGCGUUAUCCGGAUUUACUGGGUGUAAAGGGGGCGCAGACGGCGAUGCAAGCCAGGAGUGAAAGCCCGGGGCCCAACCCCGGGACUGCUCUUGGAACUGCGUGGCUGGAGUGCAGGAGGGGCAGGCGGAAUUCCUGGUGUAGCGGUGAAAUGCGUAGAUAUCAGGAGGAACACCGGUGGCGAAGGCGGCCUGCUGGACUGCAACUGACGUUGAGGCCCGAAAGCGUGGGGAGCAAACAGGAUUAGAUACCCGCGUAAA